AUUGAACGCUGGCGGAAUGCUUUACACACGCAAGUCGAACGGCAGCACGGACUUCGGUCUGGUGGCGAGUGGCGAACGGGUGAGUAAUACAUCGGAACGUGCCCAAUCGUGGGGGAUAACGUAGCGAAAGCUACGCUAAUACCGCAUACGAUCUAAGGAUGAAAGCGGGGGAUCGCAAGACCUCGCGCGAUUGGAGCGGCCGAUGGCAGAUUAGGUAGUUGGGGGGGUAAAGGCCUACCAAGCCGACGAUCUGUAGCUGGUCUGAGAGGAUGAUCAGCCACACUGGGACUGAGACACGGCCCAGACUCCUACGGGAGGCAGCAGUGGGGAAUUUUGGACAAUGGACGCAAGUCUGAUCCAGCCAUUCCGCGUGCAGGAUGAAGGCCCUCGGGUUGUAAACUGCUUUUGUACAGAACGAAAAGGCUCUGGUUAAUACCUAGGGCUCAUGACGGUACUGUAAGAAUAAGCACCGGCUAACUACGUGCCAGCCGCCGCGGUAA
Molecule: ribosomal RNA, 500 nt
Filed under: uncultured bacterium
Lineage: Bacteria
Description: partial 16S ribosomal RNA
Rfam family: Bacterial small subunit ribosomal RNA
Source: RNAcentral